AUUGAACGCUGGCGGCAGGCCUAACACAUGCAAGUCGAGCGGAUGAAGGGAGCUUGCUCCUGGAUUCAGCGGCGGACGGGUGAGUAAUGCCUAGGAAUCUGCCUGGUAGUGGGGGAUAACGUCCGGAAACGGCCGCUAAUACCGCAUACGUCCUGAGGGAGAAAGUGGGGGAUCUUCGGACCUCACGCUAUCAGAUGAGCCUAGGUCGGAUUAGCUAGUUGGUGGGGUAAAGGCCUACCAAGGCGACGAUCCGUAACUGGUCUGAGAGGAUGAUCAGUCACACUGGAACUGAGACACGGUCCAGACUCCUACGGGAGGCAGCAGUGGGGAAUAUUGGACAAAGGGCGAAAGCCUGAUCCAGCCAUGCCGCGUGUGUGAAGAAGGUCUUCGGAUUGUAAAGCACUUUAAGUUGGGAGGAAGGGCAGUAAGUUAAUACCUUGCUGUUUUGACGUUACCAACAGAAUAAGCACCGGCUAACUUCGUG
Molecule: ribosomal RNA, 484 nt
Filed under: uncultured bacterium
Lineage: Bacteria
Description: partial 16S ribosomal RNA
Rfam family: Bacterial small subunit ribosomal RNA
Source: RNAcentral